CUCAGAGCGAACGUUUGCGGCGGGCCUAACACAUGCAAGUCGAACGCACUAGCAAUAGUGAGUGGCGCACGGGUGCGUAACACGUGGGUAAUCAACCCUUCAGCUUGGGAUAACGACUUGAAAGGGUCGCUAAUACCGGAUACGGCGCGGGAGGCUUCGGCUUCUCACGAGAAAGCCUCGCAAGGGGCACUGAAGGACGAGCCUGCGGCCCAUCAGCUAGUUGGUGAGGUAAGAGCUCACCAAGGCGAAGACGGGUAGCUGGUCUGAGAGGAUGAUCAGCCACACUGGAACUGAGACACGGUCCAGACUCCUACGGGAGGCAGCAGUGGGGAAUAUUGCGCAAUGGGCGAAAGCCUGACGCAGCCACGCCGCGUGAGCGAUGAAGGCCUUCGGGUCGUAAAGCUCUGUGGGGAGAGACGAAGAAAGCCCGUGAAGAGCGGGCCUUGACGGUAUCUCCUUAGCAAGCACCGGCUAACUCCGUG
RNAcentral lists this ribosomal RNA (482 nucleotides) under uncultured bacterium. RNAcentral's name for it is "bacterial SSU rRNA". It matches the Rfam family "Bacterial small subunit ribosomal RNA", at positions 23 to 507 of the family's 1533-position model. The record is from RNAcentral.